UUGAGCUGAUGCUCCAAAAAAUUGAAAAAAAAAACGAAAUAGACCCAUCAGAAACAGUGAUCCAUUUAAGGAAUGAUUGUAUUUUUAUUGUAUGAGUUUAAUCAGGACAAAAGUAACAGAACAAAAUAGAAAGGAGUUUCUUCCCAAAGAGGUAGCACCUGUGUUUGUAUGUGUGAAAAAGAUACCCUCAAAAACCAUUGUAGCUAGAACUGUCAAAGAGACAGAAAGAAAACAAGAUAUAGAUCCUUCUGACAUUUUCAAAGCAUGAUCAUCUCAUGUUUGGAAGGAUAAACAUUUAGAUAUAUGGUUUCUGUUGUAAUGUUUUCAAAAUAAAGCUUUCGAAUCUGGGUUCCAGAGAUACAACAUUGACCUGUCAUGUCUAAUACUGAUUAAAUGCUGUACAAAUAGACUGUGAAUUUAACAGCAAGAUAUCUAUUGACAUUUUCUAAUGUGAUGGCAGUCCUGCCAGCUCUGGCUGUUGUAUUUCACAAACUAAAUAAAGGUCAGUGCCAGUGGGUGGUAAACCUUCAUAAGCAGUAAUAUGAGUGAUUCAGCAGCUGACACUUGGGUAUGACUCAGCCCUGAACCAGACUCUAGGACACUCCUAAACUAGCUGAUGUGAAACAUCAUUUACAGAUGUAAGCCUGGGCUCAUUGGAGUCAGCCUAAAAUCACAUGGAGCUUUCUAUAAGCAUUUUAGUAAAUAUUUUAGUAAAUAGAGAAACUGUAGAGUAGCAUGUUCAUGAUUUGUUCUAGAGGAAUGUCCAGGAUGUAAAAUACAUUCCUUUAGAGCUGCCAUUCCUUUAAAAACGACACCUCUAAAGGAAUAGGUAACUUUUAUCGUAACUCAUACGCUAUUGAUAUGUUGACUAACUUGUCACAUAAUUUCCCUUUACGUUAGGUGCCAUUUUGACAGGGGUAGGAGAACAUAGCAUAUAAACAGUUCCCUGUCCAUGAUCAUGAGCAGAAAAACUUUGUAAUCACUUCUUACCACUUUUUUUCAUGUACAAUGUGGCAUAGGAAAUGCUAUUUUAUUACCCAGGAGAUGUAGAACUGCAUCAUAAAUCCCUGAUUGACAUUACUAAUAACUGCUUGUGCAUGUUCAGUUAUGAAGUCAGUAGUUUGCCAGGACUUUCUAGGCUGUUACAGUGAUAAAAUAUGAACUAAAAAGGGCUAUAUCAUUACUAUUAAUAUUGUUAUUAUUAUUAUUAUUAAUAAUAAUAAUAGCAAUAUCAUACUUUCUACUGUUAUUUGUAGGGCUAAACCUGAUCAGAUUUACUCUGAGUUUCACCAUGAUCCUUCUUUUCUGGAUGCAAGAAAAAUGAAUUUGGAUAUUUUGAACUUUGGAGACAGUGAAUAAAAUGUCUAUAACUUUCUAACAAAAUAAGUUCAUCUUAAAAUAAUAAUAAUAAUUUGGCAUAAUAUUUAUGAAUAAGUGCUACAGAACUCCUUCUUCCUCCUUCUUUCUUCUUUGUUCUUCUGUCUUCUUUGUUUCUGUAUUGGAACUUUCCAGGAACUUCUACUUUGUAAACUAUGCAUAUUGAUACUGGAUUUCUCCUUUUCUCUGUAAUCUUCCUCAUAGUAAAACUCUCUUUAUGUGUAUCAGAUGUAGUGGGAACUUGGCUUUAUUUAAGAUCUUUAGGUUUUAAUGUAACACAAAAUGUAACAUUUCUUCAGUAUAAACUAAAUUCAGAACCAAACACAGAAACUAUCAUGCAGUCUUUGAGUUCUGGGAAUUGGUAAAAUAUCUGUUUCUACUUUUCUACUAUUAAAUCCCAUUUCUUGCACUUCUGCAGCAAAUCUUGGAUCUCACAUCUUUCCAUUCCAGCACAGCACCUUUCUUUCUCUGUUCUCUCAAGCACAUGUGGAGAUCAAAGGAUACUAUGCAAAGGUACAAGGCUGUACAGAUCCCUGCACCAUGAUUUUCCCUGUUCUUGCUUCUGAGCCGUACUCUACUUCAAAAUUGUCAAUAAAUUCAUCCCACGAUAAUGAAGAACAAACAAAAAUGAUGACAAAUCAUAUACUUUAUACAUUUAGACUGUGUAUAUACACAUCUCAGCCUCUUUUAUUUUUUUUCUUUUCUUUUGUGAGGAGAGUAAAUCUGUAUUUGACCUGAGACCUUUCUGAAAAUGGAGCUGACCCGGAAUCAUAGACAGGAUAUGAUCAAAAAUAUCAUCCUGUAGAGGAGUCAGAUUGAAUCUUCAGUCAGUAAGAGGACAAAAAGAAGAUUUGAUGUCAUUGGAAGAGGAUUUCUGGAUCAUUAACAUAAAUCAGAAGGAUAAUCACUUUGAUUAAAUCAGUGGAAGCUUGGGAGCUUUCAACACCCAAUAAUCUGAUACAUUCAUUGCAUCAGUGCAACCACCAUCACUGUGUAUGUGUGACAAGUAUGAAGGUUUGCAAUAUGCAUCUUGCUUAAGUCUAUCAGUUAUUAAAAUCAAGAAAAGAUGAAAGAAAUUGAAUAUUUACAGCCUUUCUAGGAGCUUGAAAGUGAGAAGUAAUAGUGACAAUCAAAAACAUCUGCUAGAAAAAAAAAUAAAAAAUUGAAGAAAAAAGAAAUAUAAACUAUUCUAUUUAACAGUUCA
Long non-coding RNA from Numida meleagris (helmeted guineafowl), 2581 nucleotides. RefSeq lists it as uncharacterized. The transcript has 3 exons. The record is from RefSeq and is a predicted model, not a curated record. NCBI's taxonomy places the organism in Eukaryota, Metazoa, Chordata, Aves, Galliformes, Numididae.